AAAAACCUGCAUCUAACCGCCCGGGAGAGGGAACAACUGUUCGCGGCACACGCGCCCAGUGCCGGCGUCGGAGCUUCUCCUCCCCAGCGCCCCUCGGGGAAAAACCUGCAUCUAACCGCCCGGGAGAGGGAGCAACUGUUCGUGGCACACGCGCCCAGUGCCGGUCUCGGUCUCGGAGCUUCUCUUCCUUCACCGGGGCCAAGACAUCCACAGCCCCUGCCUCGGAGAUCCAAUCUAGGGCAUCUCAGAAGGAGGCGUAGGAGGACCAUUAGGCCAAAGAGCACAAGGCAAAGACGCAGACAACGAAACCAGCUUGCGUCCAUCGCUCUUCGAGCUGUAUCUCUGUUCGCUGAAUUAGUGCAACUCAUCUUAUAAUAAGGUUUUAUUUUAUUUUAUUGUUUUUUAUUUUUUA
Molecule: long non-coding RNA, 412 nt
Organism: Oreochromis niloticus (Nile tilapia)
Lineage: Eukaryota; Metazoa; Chordata; Actinopteri; Cichliformes; Cichlidae
Exons: 2
Source: RefSeq, a predicted model, not a curated record